RNAcentral lists this ribosomal RNA (1344 nucleotides) under uncultured bacterium. RNAcentral describes it as "bacterial SSU rRNA". It matches the Rfam family "Bacterial small subunit ribosomal RNA", at positions 28 to 1381 of the family's 1533-position model. The record is from RNAcentral.
GAUGAACGCUUGCGGCGUGCUUAACACAUGCAAGUCGAACGGAAAGGCUCCUGCUUGCAGGGGUACUCGAGUGGCGAACGGGUGAGUAACACGUGGGUGAUCUGCCCUGCACUUCGGGAUAAGCCUGGGAAACUGGGUCUAAUACCGGAUAGGACCACACUUUGGAUGGUGUGGUGGAAAGUUUUUCGGUGUGGGAUGAGCUCGCGGCCUAUCAGCUUGUUGGUGGGGUAAUGGCCUACCAAGGCGUCGACGGGUAGCCGGCCUGAGAGGGUGUACGGCCACAUUGGGACUGAGAUACGGCCCAGACUCCUACGGGAGGCAGCAGUGGGGAAUAUUGCACAAUGGGCGCAAGCCUGAUGCAGCGACGCCGCGUGGGGGAUGACGGCCUUCGGGUUGUAAACUCCCUUCGCUAGGGACGAAGAGCAAUUGACGGUACCUGGAGAAGAAGCACCGGCUAACUACGUGCCAGCAGCCGCGGUAAUACGUAGGGUGCGAGCGUUGUCCGGAAUUACUGGGCGUAAAGAGCUCGUAGGUGGUUUGUCGCGUCGUUUGUGUAAGCCCGCAGCUUAACUGCGGGACUGCAGGCGAUACGGGCAUAACUUGAGUGCUGUAGGGGAGACUGGAAUUCCUGGUGUAGCGGUGGAAUGCGCAGAUAUCAGGAGGAACACCGAUGGCGAAGGCAGGUCUCUGGGCAGUAACUGACGCUGAGGAGCGAAAGCAUGGGUAGCGAACAGGAUUAGAUACCCUGGUAGUCCAUGCCGUAAACGGUGGGCGCUAGGUGUGAGUCCCUUCCACGGGGUUCGUGCCGUAGCUAACGCAUUAAGCGCCCCGCCUGGGGAGUACGGCCGCAAGGCUAAAACUCAAAGGAAUUGACGGGGGCCCGCACAGGCGGCGGAGCAUGUGGAUUAAUUCGAUGCAACGCGAAGAACCUUACCUGGGCUUGACAUACACCAGACCGGGCCAGAGAUGGUCUUUCCCUUUGUGGUUGGUGUACAGGUGGUGCAUGGUUGUCGUCAGCUCGUGUCGUGAGAUGUUGGGUUAAGUCCCGCAACGAGCGCAACCCUUGUCUUAUGUUGCCAGCACGUUAUGGUGGGGACUCGUGAGAGCCUGCCGGGGUUAACUCGGAGGAAGGUGGGGAUGACGUCAAAUCAUCAUGCCCCUUAUGUCCAGGGCUUCACACAUGCUACAAUGGUCGGUACAACGCGUCCCGCGAGCCUGUGAGGGUGAGCUAAUCGCUGUAAAGCCGGUCGUAGUUCGGAUUGGGGUCUGCAACUCGACCCCAUGAAGUCGGAGUCGCUAGUAAUCGCAGAUCAGCAACGCUGCGGUGAAUACGUUCCCGGGCCU